Pezoporus occidentalis (night parrot) is the source of this 919-nucleotide long non-coding RNA. RefSeq lists it as uncharacterized. The record is from RefSeq and is a predicted model, not a curated record. The transcript is spliced from 2 exons. NCBI's taxonomy places the organism in Eukaryota, Metazoa, Chordata, Aves, Psittaciformes, Psittacidae.
GAGAUAACUUUCAUUGUGCUUUAUGCUGAACCAUGUGCUCAAUGAAUGACUGAUCAAUGUUUUGUCAAACCUGGACAUGGUAGACUACAAAAGCAACAUGAUGAAUACAAGCUAUAAUAUGUUUCAAAAUAUAGUUCUUUAUGAUCAAAAUGAAGGGAAAUAUUCCACUGGGAUCUCACAUUCAGGACAAAACUACCAAGUCAAACUUACAAAGUUUAAUGUAAGGUUAUAUUCCAACAGCCACGUACACAUUGACAAGUCAAACAGAAAUAAGAGAUUGCCAAGGGAACGAUGUUCCACUCAAGGAGCAGCUGAGCCUUUUGGAUCCCAAUGUUACUCAAGCAUUUGGGAAAAACCAUGAGACAGGUGACAGUAUCUGACCGCAUUCCUGUGCUACUGGUUCUCCUCCUAUGACCUGCCUUAAUCCAGAUCUUCAGGGACAGUGUCCAGAAGGAAGAAAGCUGUUCUGUCUCCUUGAAUGUCAAGUUCUUGACUGCAGUUCUUUCCUCCUACUUUUUCUUCUGCUUUAAUUAUCUUUAAUAUUUAAGAAAUGGCACCUGGAUAUAAGACCGUACUCUUCUUCCUUUAGAUGUUGGGUUGGUUUGUUUUUUUUUUCCACCUACUAACUUCAUAUCUUAUAUUCCUCCACAAGAUACCUGAAGAAGCACCAUUUGUCUUUUCAGAAGAGUCUGAAAACAAUUUACCUGACUUACUUUACUUUGAGCCAUUGUAAUCAGUUUAUGUCUGGGUAUGAUUUCUUUUCUUCCCCACAAUUACACAAGCUUCCAGUCUUACCUUUAUGCCAUAGUUUAUAUCUCGUGAGUUGAAUCUUAAUAAAAGACAGUUACAAGCCUUUUUAUAAGCAUUAUUACUGUUUGUUGGAUAUGUAAUGUAAGUAUUAAAGUCUGAAGAUGUUCUG